This 501-nucleotide ribosomal RNA is filed under the name Phoma sp. F5a. RNAcentral describes it as "eukaryotic LSU rRNA". The stretch from base 151 to 304 matches the Rfam family "5.8S ribosomal RNA". The record is from RNAcentral. Lineage: Eukaryota; Fungi; Ascomycota; Dothideomycetes; Pleosporales; Didymellaceae.
AAGGAUCAUUACCUAGAGUUGUAGGCUUUGCCUGCUAUCUCUUACCCAUGUCUUUUGAGUACCUUCGUUUCCUCGGCGGGUUCGCCCGCCGAUUGGACAAUUUAAACCAUUUGCAGUUGCAAUCAGCGUCUGAAAAAACAUAAUAGUUACAACUUUCAACAACGGAUCUCUUGGUUCUGGCAUCGAUGAAGAACGCAGCGAAAUGCGAUAAGUAGUGUGAAUUGCAGAAUUCAGUGAAUCAUCGAAUCUUUGAACGCACAUUGCGCCCCUUGGUAUUCCAUGGGGCAUGCCUGUUCGAGCGUCAUUUGUACCUUCAAGCUCUGCUUGGUGUUGGGUGUUUGUCUCGCCUCUGCGUGUAGACUCGCCUCAAAACAAUUGGCAGCCGGCGUAUUGAUUUCGGAGCGCAGUACAUCUCGCGCUUUGCACUCAGAACGACGACGUCCAAAAGUACAUUUUUACACUCUUGACCUCGGAUCAGGUAGGGAUACCCGCUGAACUUAA